This is a long non-coding RNA of Helianthus annuus (common sunflower), 885 nucleotides long. RefSeq lists it as uncharacterized. The record is from RefSeq and is a predicted model, not a curated record. The transcript has 5 exons. Lineage: Eukaryota; Viridiplantae; Streptophyta; Magnoliopsida; Asterales; Asteraceae.
UAUUCUCCUUCACUUCACUUCUCCUUCUGUACUCUCUUCUCUUCUCUCUUCAUCGAACCCCCAGCUUAUGAAAUCCACCUUUUUCUUAGUUGUUAUACGAUUCAAACCCUAAAUCGAUUCAAACCCUAUGAAAUCGUCUCCUUCUCCUGUCGUCGAGCAAUUGAACGGUCGAAGAAAACCCUAGAUCAACAGAUCGUCUAUUUUGGGGACAGAGUUAUCCUGGAGGAACCUAUAGAGAGGUGGCCAAUAUGUGACUGUUUGAUUGCUUUUCAUUCCUCUGGAUAUGGAUAUCUGCUUGAGAAGGCUGAAGCUUAUGCUGCACUAAGGAAGAGUGCACGGUGCAAGUUAGUGAACGUAAACAUACAAAAUAAAGGAAUAAACUGGAGUUCAGAUAAAAAUCUCUAUUAGAAGCAUGAUCUUCAGCGGUUUGAGGCAUUAAAAGUCAUACUGCAUGGAAACGCUGAAUUUGAGGCUGUUGAUGUUAACCUCGAGGGAAAUCAUGUGUUUAUUGGCGGUAGUCUCAGAGGAGCUUGAAGCAGAGCUUGUGUUUAUUUUUUUAACGUUUAACCUACCUCUCAAAGUGACGCUUAUAUCUAAUUUUCAGGAACCUCAAAAAGUACUUCAACCAGUAGACAAGACUUUAAAGACUAUGGCUACCGAAUUUGUUGGGUACCAAGUAAUCUUUUUUUUAGGGAAAUAACUUUUAGUAUGUUGUUUUCAUAUAUCUAUUUUUAACAUUUUCAGGUCUCAGGUAUUUCUUACUACUCAAAGUUAUGUUAACAUUGCUUCCAUAUCUGUCACACCCCAACCACGUAAAACAACAAAACGUGGCAGAAACGUCGGGGAGUGUUGUAACAGAAUUAUCGUUUAUAACCAUGGAUACAA